CUCCCAGCUACUGCAAGCUGGCCUCCUAAGGGGCUGUGCACCCCCAGCGGGCUGGCCCCAGCACCUUCUGCCCUUCCCAGUACCUUGUGCCCUUGCCAGUGAACGCAGGGUUUGCCAUUGCUACCAAGCAAGCACCACGAGAAAGGGAGGGUACGCCAGGCGAGCCCAGGGCACAGAUGCUGAGACAGCCUCUCCCUCUCAGUGCAGGGACGUCACCCCUGCCAGGCAAGCCCAGGGCACAGAUGCCAGGAUGGCUUCUCCCUCUCAGUGCGAGGCUUCACCCCUGCCAAGCAAGCCCAGGGCACAGAUGCUGAGACAGCCUCUCCCUCUCAGUGCAGGGACGUCACCCCUGCCAGGCAAGCCCAGGGCACAGAUGCCGGGACGGCCUCUCCCUCUCAGUGUGAGGCUUCACCCAUGCUAGGCAAGCCCAGGGCACAGAUGCCGGGAUGGCCCCUCCCUCUCAGUGCGGGAACGUCACCCCUGCCAGGCAAGCCCGGGGCACAGAUGCUGGGACGGCCUCUCCCUCUCAGUGCAGGGAUGUCACCCCUGCUAGGCAAGCCCGGGGCACAGAUGCUGGGACGGCC
RNAcentral lists this long non-coding RNA (584 nucleotides) under Pan troglodytes (chimpanzee). Its description in RNAcentral is "long non-coding RNA NONPTRT007631". Lineage: Eukaryota; Metazoa; Chordata; Mammalia; Primates; Hominidae. The record is from RNAcentral.